RNAcentral lists this ribosomal RNA (253 nucleotides) under uncultured bacterium. Its description in RNAcentral is "partial 16S ribosomal RNA". It matches the Rfam family "Bacterial small subunit ribosomal RNA", at positions 524 to 776 of the family's 1533-position model. The record is from RNAcentral.
UACGGAGGGUGCAAGCGUUGUUCGGAAUCACUGGGCGUAAAGGGCGUGUAGGCGGUCCGCUAAGUCUGAUGUGAAAGCCCGGGGCUCACCCCCGGAAGGGCAUUGGAAACUGGCGGACUCGAGUCCCGGAGAGGAAGGUGGAAUUCCUGGUGUAGCGGUGAAAUGCGUAGAUAUCAGGAGGAAUACCGGUGGCGAAGGCGGCCUUCUGGACGGUGCCUGACGCUGAGACGCGAAAGCGUGGGGAGCAAACAGG